GACGAACGCUGGCGGCGUGCUUAACACAUGCAAGUCGAACGGUAAGGCCCUUCGGGGUACACGAGUGGCGAACGGGUGAGUAACACGUGGGUGAUCUGCCCUGCACUUCGGAAUAAGCCUGGGAAACUGGGUCUAAUACCGGAUAGGACCACUGCCUGCAGGGGUGGGGGUGGAAAGCUUUUGCGGUGUGGGAUGGGCCCGCGGCCUAUCAGUUUGUUGGUGGGGUGAUGGCCUACCAAGGCGACGACGGGUAGCCGGCCUGAGAGGGUGACCGGCCACACUGGGACUGAGAUACGGCCCAGACUCCUACGGGAGGCAGCAGUGGGGAAUAUUGCACAAUGGGCGCAAGCCUGAUGCAGCGACGCCGCGUGAGGGGUGACGGCCUUCGGGUUGUAAACCUCUUUCAGCAUCGACGAAGCGAAAGUGACGGUAGGUGCAGAAGAAGGACCGGCCAACUACGUGCCAGCAGCCGCCGUAA
Molecule: ribosomal RNA, 478 nt
Filed under: uncultured bacterium
Lineage: Bacteria
Description: partial 16S ribosomal RNA
Rfam family: Bacterial small subunit ribosomal RNA
Source: RNAcentral